Chinchilla lanigera (long-tailed chinchilla) is the source of this 72-nucleotide non-coding RNA. NCBI's taxonomy places the organism in Eukaryota, Metazoa, Chordata, Mammalia, Rodentia, Chinchillidae. The record is from the annotation of a RefSeq genome assembly.
UGUGAUAUGGCUCAGUGGCACAGCAUCUGCCUGGCAAGCAGAAGGUCCUGAGUUCAAUUCCCAGUACCAAAA